GGAAAUGUAGCUCAGUGGAAGAGUGUUACCUAGCAUGUGUAAGACCCUGGGUUCAAUCCCCAGCACCCUCC
Molecule: transfer RNA, 71 nt
Filed under: Marmota monax (woodchuck)
Lineage: Eukaryota; Metazoa; Chordata; Mammalia; Rodentia; Sciuridae
Description: tRNA.Undet
Source: RNAcentral